This 199-nucleotide long non-coding RNA is filed under the name Sorghum bicolor (sorghum). RNAcentral's name for it is "long non-coding RNA (SBIC_LNC013380)". Lineage: Eukaryota; Viridiplantae; Streptophyta; Magnoliopsida; Poales; Poaceae. The record is from RNAcentral.
CUGUCGUUGCUGCAUUUAGUUAGAAUCCACGCUGGACUUUAUUUCGCCUGCUGGCGAGCGGUAUCAUUGCGCUUGCUCUGAGGUGUGGAAGGUAGGAUUUGAGGGACUGAUGAAUUCUUUUUUCAUUGGAGUUGAGUUUGGGGAACUGCUGAUAAGAUCUCUAAAACAACUAUUUUUUCUCGUUGAGAGUUAGAAAAGG